GUGAGGAAUAUUGCGCAAUGGAGGCAACUCUGACGCAGCCAUGCCGCGUGCAGGAAGAAGGCGCUACGCGUUGUAAACUGCUUUUAACCGGGAAGAAACCCCAGGACGUGUCCUGGGUUGACGGUACCGGAGGAAUAAGCACCGGCUAACUUCGUGCAGCAGCCGCGGUAAUACGAAGGGUGCAAGCGUUAUCCGGAUUCAUUGGGUUUAAAGGGUGCGUAGGCGGAGCGUUAAGUCAGUGGUGAAAUCCUGCAGCUUAACUGUAGACUUGCCAUUGAUACUGGCGCUCUUGAGUGCGCUUGAAGUGGGCGGAAUGUGCCGUGUAGCGGUGAAAUGCUUAGAUAUGGCACAGAACACCAAUUGCGAAGGCAGCUCACUAAGGCGAUACUGACGCUGAGGCACGAAAGCGUGGGGAUCGAACAGGAUUAGAAACCCGGGUAGUCC
RNAcentral lists this ribosomal RNA (444 nucleotides) under uncultured bacterium. Its description in RNAcentral is "partial 16S ribosomal RNA". It matches the Rfam family "Bacterial small subunit ribosomal RNA", at positions 354 to 796 of the family's 1533-position model. The record is from RNAcentral.